GAUCAUGGCUCAGGACGAACGCUGGCGGCGCGCCUAACACAUGCAAGUCGAACGAGCGAGAGAGAGCUUGCUUUCUCGAGCGAGUGGCGAACGGGUGAGUAACGCGUGAGGAACCUGCCUCAAAGAGGGGGACAACAGUUAGAAAUGACUGCUAAUACCGCAUAACCCGCUAGGGCCGCAUGGCCCGGACGGAAAAGGAGUAAUCCGGUAUGAGAUGGACCCGCGUCUGAUUAGCUGGUUGG
RNAcentral lists this ribosomal RNA (242 nucleotides) under uncultured bacterium. Its description in RNAcentral is "partial 16S ribosomal RNA". It matches the Rfam family "Bacterial small subunit ribosomal RNA", at positions 15 to 252 of the family's 1533-position model. The record is from RNAcentral.